Molecule: ribosomal RNA, 462 nt
Filed under: uncultured bacterium
Lineage: Bacteria
Description: bacterial SSU rRNA
Rfam family: Bacterial small subunit ribosomal RNA
Source: RNAcentral
GAUGAACGCUGGCGGCGUGCCCAAUACAUGCAAGUCGAACGGAGAUUGUAGCAAUACGGUCUCAGUGGCGAACGGGUGAGUAACGCGUUGGUGACCUGCCCCAAAGAGCGGGAUAACAGUUCGAAAGGACUGCUAAUACCGCAUGUGAUCUCCGGGACUAGAAGCCUGGAGAUGGAAGGGAGAAAUCCGCUUUGGGAGGGACCUGCGUCCCAUCAGCUAGUUGGUAGGGUAACGGCCUACCAAGGCGAUGACGGGUAGGGGACCUGAGAGGGUGGCCCCCCACAAUGGAACUGAAACACGGUCCAUACACCUACGGGUGGCAGCAGUAGGGAAUAUUGGUUAAUGGGCGAAAGCCUGAACCAGCAACGCCGCGUGUGCGAUGAAGGCCUUCGGGUCGUAAAGCACUUUUUGAAGGGAUGAGGAAGGACAGUACCUUCAGAAUAAGUCUCGGCUAACUACGUG